UUGUAUGGGUCAUAUACUUGUAUUGAUUUCCAGUACUAGUUUCUCUUUCCAUUCAACUUUGAGAGCUUUAAACACCUAAAAAACCUUUAACUCUAUUGCCAAUGAGAAUUUAAACACACACACAUUUGUGAACAGAUAGUAAACUCUUAUGAUAGAAUGCUGGACAUGAUGCUUAAUCUUUGUUUGGUUACUUCAAUUGUCACUCAAAAACUUGGCAUUGGUGGGUUCAGUAUGGGUGCUGCAACUGCAUUGUACCCUGCCUCUUGCUUCACACAUGGAAAAUACGAAAAUGGCAGUCUAUAGACUCUAAUACCCCAUAAACUUCAGUGCAGUCAUUGGCCUCAGUGGCUGGCUUCCAUGCUCAAGGUCUGUUCUAUCUUAAAAUGUCCAAUGUUUGAUCUAUGAAAAUAUCACAUCUAUCGAAUUCUCGGCAUGUGAAUAAAAAAUGCAAGAAAAUAUGCAUGUUCCACUCACCCAGGAGCUUGAACACUAAGGUGGAAAGCUCACAUGAUGCUGCAAGGUGAGCUGCCUCCUUGCCAGUUCCAUUGUGUCAUGGAAGAGGUACCUUCUCUGUCACAGAAGAACAUGAUUAGAUAACUUCGAUAUGCAGUUAUCUUGCAAUAAAUGUGGAGAAGAAUUGAUAAGCCAAAAGAUGUGAACGUUACUGUUUGAUUCGUUUUGCCAUACCAACAGGAGCUCAGAAUCCUGAUUUGGAUGCACACAAUUUACCAUGAGUUUGUUUCAGGUGAUGGAGUGGUUCCGUAUAAACACGGGAAAAUUCUGGAGAGGUUCUAAGAGUGUUUGGGUUCAGAAAUCUCACGUUCAAGACCUUUUACAAUGGGUAUGUCUCUGAUGCUGUUGUUGUUGUUCCAUCGAUUCAUAUUUCUGACUUCUGAAAACUAGAUUCCUGAAAAGAAAAGAAAAAUAAUAGAUUUCUUCAAUUUUCCUGCCUUACACAACGAAGCAACUGGAAUUUUUCAGACUCGAACACUGCACAAUACCAGAAGAAAUGGAUACUGUCUGCAAGUGGCUCACAGCAAGGCUGCAGCUUGAUGGGUCUCACAGAAAGUAUAUCCAAUUAGUGCAUUAAAUAUGUAGAAUUUGUAUGUAUAUAAAUGUAUUCGGGAGUAUGUCAUUCUGAUACUAUUGCUUGAGUGGUCUAAUAGCUUGAUAGAUAUGCUGCAUCCUACACUGUCUUCCCAGUUCUUGUCCAUAAAUCCAGCCAGAAUUCAUUUGCUCUUCACUAUGGUUUUCAUAUACUUGCAUUCCAUGGUCAUAGACAAAAGUUACAACAUUAUAAUGCAAAACUGGAUUAGGCACUAGAGCAUCCAGGAUGUUUUUUCCUUGGAAAAUUUCUCGUAAAAAGUAAUGUUCAGGAUGAUGAGAAUGGAACAACACAUAACAUGAAUUAACCAAGGAUAGUAAAUAAGCAAUCAUAUAAUUGGCAAAUAUUUGAAGUUAUAGUCCACAGCUAGAAAUUAAAGAAUAUAAGUUCAGAAGGUGC
Molecule: long non-coding RNA, 1504 nt
Filed under: Musa acuminata (dwarf banana)
Lineage: Eukaryota; Viridiplantae; Streptophyta; Magnoliopsida; Zingiberales; Musaceae
Description: long non-coding RNA (MACU_LNC000108)
Source: RNAcentral